Long non-coding RNA from Pezoporus occidentalis (night parrot), 2059 nucleotides. RefSeq lists it as uncharacterized. The transcript is spliced from 3 exons. The record is from RefSeq and is a predicted model, not a curated record. NCBI's taxonomy places the organism in Eukaryota, Metazoa, Chordata, Aves, Psittaciformes, Psittacidae.
UGUUGAUAAAGCUUCAACCACCAAACCGGUCUGUAACCAUGUGAUUUGGCACAGCACAAGGAGCUGUAGCUAACAACACAAAAGGUGAAUAAUUGCAGGUCAUGGCAUUCACCCUCCCUAUUUAAAAGUGAUUAAGCUCUGGGUGAGGGCAGGCAGCUGCAGGUUUGGGCUGCCUUUGUCCCCCUGGCAAUGGCUAACGAAGCACUGAUGUCUGGCAGGACGUCUCCUCCAGCAGCCCCCUUCGCCCAGAGCAGGGCCACUCCAGGGUGGCCUCACUGUGCCCACUCCUGGUGGUGGGUUUUGGAGGGGAUAGGUGCACAACAUGAAUACCAAGGGUCCUCCUUCUCCUGCUGCUCAUUUCUCCACCUGAAUUGGCAGAGGGGAUGUAAAGCUGCAAUGUGGGGAUGAGGUGGGAGGAAGGCAGGCUGGCAGCCACAGAACAAGCCCUCACAACCACUGCUCUCAAGCUCCACUUCUGGUUCCACUGCCAGCUCUGAGCAGUGUUAUCUGCAGCUAAAAGCACUGUGGUGGAGACCAGUUCCUAAAAAAGUGUGGAUUGCUGCUGUUGGAUUGCCAUCAGCCUUGCUCAGCACAGGAACUGAACGUCACAGCCUUCUGACAACUUUGCAAAUGGAUGCAUCUCCUGUUGCCAUGGAAAUGGACCUGAGCUCACUGAAAGCUGGGUAAUGGGCUCUAAAGUCAUCACUCCUUAUAUUGAAAAUAUGUUGGGGUGAUAUCAGUUGGUAGUAGUAGUAAUAAUAAUAAUAAUAAUAACAUCUCAGCUUGUGGAAUAUAGUCUUUGCUGGGUUUGUUUUACAGUAGUGUUAUGUUCAUGUUUGUAUGUGAAUUAUCUGGUGAAAUAUAACCCUCUCAUUUAUUUUGUACUUACUGACCACAGUGUUGCAGCUGUUAGAUACCACCCAAACCCAGCAACAGGGAGAGCAUCACUAAGAAAAUGGAUUUGAGGAACACAAUUGUUUGUUUUAACUAACCAGGUGGAUGGACACAACUGACCAUUUCUUUUAUCAUCAGUGUCUUGUUGCACAACCAUUUUCCAUUAGUCCUGAAGUGUUUGCUUGAUCUACUGCCAUUAGAAUAUAUGUUAAAGUUCAAUAUAAUUAUGUCCCACGUUAACGUCCUUUCAUUUUGCUGUGUUCAGCAAUCUCCAGCUUUGCCUUAGUUUCACAGAGUUCUUAGUUGUACUUAAAAUGUUUGCCUCUAGCUUCAUAGUAACAUCUUGCUAAUCAAACAAUACUGGCAAAGAAAAUUAUGCUAUGCAGAUAAACUUGACCAUGAGAAUUUAUACUGUAAAAAAAAUUAAGGAUUUUAGGGAAUAACUGUGGCUGUAGUCGAAAGGGUGAAUGCAGGGCUGCAAACAAAGAAAAUAAAAGAUAGAAGUCAUCUUCUCAGCCUAUGGUUUUGUGGAAAAACCUACACUUAUCAAGAAUCCUGCAAAAAACAAUAUGCCAGUCUUCACCUUGAGAUAUUUUAAUAGGUUGCUCUUUAAUUAUUUACCUUCAUCAAAUUAGCAGGAGAGUAGUUUUUUUACUGUAAUAUCAGCUGUUGAGAAACAGUAUUGUACACCAGAAACUAUUGUGAUUUUUUAUUACUGCGGCAUAUUAAAAUAUGAUCUUGAAAUGCUUUUAAAUCUGAGCAGCAGUCAUAUCAAUACACUAUAGGAAAAUGAGAUGUAUGCUUUUAAUUCCUGGGAAAACCUGUUACUCUUAGAGGAUGUGCAAACAUCUUAGGCUGAAAUAAUGCUGAAAUGAACAGUGUGUUCAUUCAGACUCUCCACCUUAAUUUGUAUACUUGCAGUGUGCUUAUUUUUAUUUACUGAUCAGUAAAUAGAUAGUAGAUAGAUAAAUGGGUUUUGAGACUAUUUGCUUUCAAAAUGUUCUUCAUCAAUCCUCUGUCAAGUUAAAGAGAAAACUUAGUAACCAUUUUAAUCUGUUUCCCAAAACCUGGCUUGUCUCCUUAUGGUGCCUAGCAGCACUGAAUUAUUUCCAAGCCUAUGCAGAGUGUCCUGCUAUAUUUGUUUUAAAAGAUGCCUAAACUUUGU